UAAGGAAUAUUGGACAAUGGUGGCAACACUGAUCCAGCCAUGCCGCGUGCAGGAUGACUGCCCUAUGGGUUGUAAACUGCUUUUGUACGGGAAAAAACCCUCGUUCGUGAACGAGGCUGAUGGUACCGUAAGAAUAAGGAUCGGCUAACUCCGUGCCAGCAGCCGCGGUAAUACGGAGGAUCCAAGCGUUAUCCGGAUUUAUUGGGUUUAAAGGGUGCGUAGGCGGAUUAAUAAGUCAGUGGUGAAAGCCUACAGCUUAACUGUAGAAUUGCCAUUGAUACUGUUAGUCUUGAGUAUAUUUGAAGUGGGCGGAAUGUGCAGUGUAGCGGUGAAAUGCUUAGAUAUUGCACAGAACACCGAUUGCGAAGGCAGCUCACUAAACUAUAACUGACGCUGAGGC
RNAcentral lists this ribosomal RNA (400 nucleotides) under uncultured bacterium. RNAcentral describes it as "bacterial SSU rRNA". It matches the Rfam family "Bacterial small subunit ribosomal RNA", at positions 355 to 752 of the family's 1533-position model. The record is from RNAcentral.